Molecule: long non-coding RNA, 250 nt
Filed under: Equus caballus (horse)
Lineage: Eukaryota; Metazoa; Chordata; Mammalia; Perissodactyla; Equidae
Description: lncRNA (ENSECAG00000045170.1)
Source: RNAcentral
GGAAAUGAUUGCUCUACUUCUUGGCAGCAGGUCUCCAAGAGGGAGGGGCCUGGCCACCUCUCUGGCCCAGAUGAGGUGUCAGCCUCACUAGCUGAACUGAAGGCUGGCUUGAACAAUGCUCUGCAGUCUCCUUGCCCUGCUUCUGGGCCCUCUCUUGGAAAAAGGAGAGGAAAAUUCUCAGAGCCACAGAGACAUGAGCAGAAGGUGAUGUGAAGACAGGCAUAAGGUUGGAGUGAUGCUGCUACAAGAC